CCUGAGCACUCUGGGGGUGGUGAA
RNAcentral lists this unclassified non-coding RNA (24 nucleotides) under Mus musculus (house mouse). RNAcentral's name for it is "oocyte_clustered_small_RNA1151". Lineage: Eukaryota; Metazoa; Chordata; Mammalia; Rodentia; Muridae. The record is from RNAcentral.